UACGAAGGGGGCUAGCGUUGCUCGGAAUUACUGGGCGUAAAGGGCGCGUAGGCGGAUUGUUAAGUUGGAGGUGAAAGCCCAGGGCUCAACCUUGGAACUGCCUUCAAUACUGGCAAUCUUGAGUAUGAGAGAGGUGUGUGGAACUCCGAGUGUAGAGGUGAAAUUCGUAGAUAUUCGGAAGAACACCAGUGGCGAAGGCGACACACUGGCCCGGUACUGACGCUGAGGUGCGAAAGCGUGGGGAGCAAACAGG
Molecule: ribosomal RNA, 253 nt
Filed under: uncultured bacterium
Lineage: Bacteria
Description: partial 16S ribosomal RNA
Rfam family: Bacterial small subunit ribosomal RNA
Source: RNAcentral